UGCACUUCGCUGACGAGUGGCGGACGGGUGAGUAAUGCUUGGGAACUUGCCUUUGCGAGGGGGAUAACAGUUGGAAACGACUGCUAAUACCGCAUAAUGUCUACGGACCAAACGGGGCUUCGGCUCCGGCGCAAAGAGAGGCCCAAGUGAGAUUAGCUAGUUGGUAAGGUAAAGGCUUACCAAGGCAACGAUCUCUAGCUGUUCUGAGAGGAAGAUCAGCCACACUGGAACUGAGACACGGUCCAGACUCCUACGGGAGGCAGCAGUGGGGAAUAUUGCACAAUGGGGGAAACCCUGAUGCAGCCAUGCCGCGUGUGUGAAGAAGGCCUUCGGGUUGUAAAGCACUUUCAGUUGUGAGGAAAAGUUAGUAGUUAAUACCUGCUAGCCGUGACGUUAACAACAGAAGAAGCACCGGCUAACUCCGUGCCAGCAGCCGCGGUAAUACGGAGGGUGCGAGCGUUAAUCGGAAUUACUGGGCGUAAAGCGCACGCAGGCGGUUUGUUAAGCUAGAUGUGAAAGCCCCGGGCUCAACCUGGGAUGGUCAUUUAGAACUGGCAGACUAGAGUCUUGGAGAGGGGAGUGGAAUUCCAGGUGUAGCGGUGAAAUGCGUAGAUAUCUGGAGGAACAUCAGUGGCGAAGGCGACUCCCUGGCCAAAGACUGACGCUCAUGUGCGAAAGUGUGGGUAGCGAACAGGAUUAGAUACCCUGGUAGUCCACACCGUAAACGCUGUCUACUAGCUGUUUGUGACUUUAAGUCGUGAGUAGCGAAGCUAACGCGCUAAGUAGACCGCCUGGGGAGUACGGCCGCAAGGUUAAAACUCAAAUGAAUUGACGGGGGCCCGCACAAGCGGUGGAGCAUGUGGUUUAAUUCGAUGCAACGCGAAGAACCUUACCUACACUU
Molecule: ribosomal RNA, 901 nt
Filed under: Alteromonas sp. N56(2010)
Lineage: Bacteria; Pseudomonadati; Pseudomonadota; Gammaproteobacteria; Alteromonadales; Alteromonadaceae
Description: bacterial SSU rRNA
Rfam family: Bacterial small subunit ribosomal RNA
Source: RNAcentral